This 118-nucleotide ribosomal RNA is filed under the name Peromyscus maniculatus bairdii (prairie deer mouse). Lineage: Eukaryota; Metazoa; Chordata; Mammalia; Rodentia; Cricetidae. The record is from RNAcentral.
ACCUAUGACCAUACUACCCUGAAUAAGCCAUAUCCUUUCUGAUCUCAAAAACUAAGCAGGGUCAGCCUAGUUAGUACCUCAGUGGGAGAACAGUCAAUUCAACUUGGAUUUCUAGGAC